Molecule: transfer RNA, 69 nt
Filed under: Ictidomys tridecemlineatus (thirteen-lined ground squirrel)
Lineage: Eukaryota; Metazoa; Chordata; Mammalia; Rodentia; Sciuridae
Description: Spermophilus tridecemlineatus (thirteen-lined ground squirrel) tRNA
Rfam family: tRNA
About the family: Transfer RNA (tRNA) molecules are approximately 80 nucleotides in length. Their secondary structure includes four short double-helical elements and three loops (D, anti-codon, and T loops).
Source: Rfam by way of RNAcentral
GGGGUUGUGGCUCAGUGGUAGAGCGCUCACCUAGCACAUGGUAGGCCCUGGGUUCGAUCCUCAGCACCA